GCGGGUGUAGUUUAAUGGUAGAACCACAGCCUUCCAAGCUGUUGACGUGGGUUCAAUUCCCAUCACCCGCUCCA
Molecule: transfer RNA, 74 nt
Filed under: Acholeplasmataceae bacterium
Lineage: Bacteria; Bacillati; Mycoplasmatota; Mollicutes; Acholeplasmatales; Acholeplasmataceae
Also listed under: 1 other name
Description: tRNA-Gly
Rfam family: tRNA
About the family: Transfer RNA (tRNA) molecules are approximately 80 nucleotides in length.
Source: RNAcentral